GACGAACGCUGGCGGCGUGCUUAACACAUGCAAGUCGAACGGAAAGGCCCUGCUUUUGUGGGGUGCUCGAGUGGCGAACGGGUGAGUAACACGUGAGUAACCUGCCCUUGACUUUGGGAUAACUUCAGGAAACUGGGGCUAAUACCGGAUAGGAGCUCCUGCUGCAUGGUGGGGGUUGGAAAGUUUCGGCGGUUGGGGAUGGACUCGCGGCUUAUCAGCUUGUUGGUGGGGUAGUGGCUUACCAAGGCUUUGACGGGUAGCCGGCCUGAGAGGGUGACCGGCCACAUUGGGACUGAGAUACGGCCCAGACUCCUACGGGAGGCAGCAGUGGGGAAUAUUGCACAAUGGGCGGAAGCCUGAUGCAGCAACGCCGCGUGCGGGAUGACGGCAUUCGGGUUGUAAACCGCUUUCGCCUGUGACGAAGCGUGAGUGACGGUAAUGGGUAAAGAAGCACCGGCCAACUACGUG
Molecule: ribosomal RNA, 468 nt
Filed under: uncultured bacterium
Lineage: Bacteria
Description: partial 16S ribosomal RNA
Rfam family: Bacterial small subunit ribosomal RNA
Source: RNAcentral